GUACUUUCAGCGGGGAGCGCAAUGUGUGUUGUGGUUAAUAACCGCAGCAAUUGACGUUACCCGCAGAAGAAGCACCGGCUAACUCCGUGCCAGCAGCCGCGGUAAUACGGAGGGUGCAAGCGUUAAUCGGAAUUACUGGGCGUAAAGCGCACGCAGGCGGUCUGUCAAGUCGGAUGUGAAAUCCCCGGGCUCAACCUGGGAACUGCAUUCGAAACUGGCAGGCUGGAGUCUUGUAGAGGGGGGUAGAAUUCCAGGUGUAGCGGUGAAAUGCGUAGAGAUCUGGAGGAAUACCGGUGGCGAA
Molecule: ribosomal RNA, 301 nt
Filed under: Enterobacter cloacae
Lineage: Bacteria; Pseudomonadati; Pseudomonadota; Gammaproteobacteria; Enterobacterales; Enterobacteriaceae
Description: bacterial SSU rRNA
Rfam family: Bacterial small subunit ribosomal RNA
Source: RNAcentral